UGACAACAUGACACUUGAUGACAAUCACAACAACGCGAGCAGAUACUGCAGAUAGGAAGAUGACAGCUCUUAAUGUCACUUUAACAGCACAUAUUACAGCUCAACCGCAAAUAAAACCGACGCAAUCAAACGACACAUAAAUGAGGAACCGAGUACGGCACAAGACUCACCUAAGGAAUGUGUUUGGACCAUUACAUCCAGUCAUCAGAAGCAGAGCUGUGGGACGUGUGGACAGACAUUGACUGUAAUGAUGGACUUCUGCUGAUGGACAGCAUAACCCCUGCUGU
Molecule: non-coding RNA, 287 nt
Organism: Pimephales promelas (fathead minnow)
Lineage: Eukaryota; Metazoa; Chordata; Actinopteri; Cypriniformes; Leuciscidae
Source: RefSeq, a predicted model, not a curated record